This 347-nucleotide ribosomal RNA is filed under the name Moorena sp. SIO2B7. Its description in RNAcentral is "bacterial SSU rRNA". It matches the Rfam family "Bacterial small subunit ribosomal RNA", at positions 1 to 381 of the family's 1533-position model. The record is from RNAcentral. Lineage: Bacteria; Bacillati; Cyanobacteriota; Cyanophyceae; Coleofasciculales; Coleofasciculaceae.
CAUGGAGAGUUUGAUCCUGGCUCAGGAUGAACGCUGGCGGUAUGCUUAACACAUGCAAGUCGAACGCCCCUUCGGGGGAGUGGCGGACGGGUGAGUAACGCGUGAGAAUCUGCCUUCGGGUCGGGGACAACCACCGGAAACAGUGGCUAAUACCGGAUGUGCCGAGAGGUAAAAGAUUUAUUGCCAGAAGAGGAGCUCGCGUCUGAUUAGCUAGUUGGUAGGGUAAAAGCCUACCAAGGCAACGAUCAGUAGCUGGUCUGAGAGGAUGAGCAGCCACACUGGGACUGAGACACGGCCCAGACUCCUACGGGAGGCAGCAGUGGGGAAUUUUCCGCAAUGGGCGAAAG